UAGCUAGUUGGUGAGGUAACGGCUUACCAAGGCGACGAUCUGUAGCGGGUCUGAGAGGAUGAUCCGCCACACUGGAACUGAGACACGGUCCAGACUCCUACGGGAGGCAGCAGUGGGGAAUUUUGGACAAUGGGGGCAACCCUGAUCCAGCCAUGCCGCGUGAGUGAAGAAGGCCUUCGGGUUGUAAAGCUCUUUCGGCCGGGAAGAAAUCGCAUGGGCCAAUACCCUGUGUGGAUGACGGUACCGGAAUAAGAAGCACCGGCUAACUACGUGCCAGCAGCCGCGGUAAUACGUAGGGUGCGAGCGUUAAUCGGAAUUACUGGGCGUAAAGCGUGCGCAGGCGGUUUUGUAAGACAGGCGUGAAAUCCCCGGGCUCAACCUGGGAACUGCGUUUGUGACUGCAAGGCUAGAGUACGGCAGAGGGGGGUGGAAUUCCACGUGUAGCAGUGAAAUGCGUAGAGAUGUGGAGGAACACCAAUGGCGAAGGCAGCCCCCUGGGUCGAUACUGACGCUCAUGCACGAAAGCGUGGGUAGCAAACAGGAUUAGAUACCCUGGUAGUCCACGCCCUAAACUAUGUCAACUAGGUGUUGGGUGGGUAAAACCAUUUAGUACCGUAGCUAACGCGUGAAGUUGACCGCCUGGGGAGUACGGCCGCAAGGUUAAAACUCAAAGGAAUUGACGGGGACCCGCACAAGCGGUGGAUGAUGUGGAUUAAUUCGAUGCAACGCGAAAAACCUUACCUACCCUUGACAUGCCAGGAACUUGCCAGAGAUGGCUUGGUGCCCGAAAGGGAGCCUGGACACAGGUGCUGCAUGGCUGUCGUCAGCUCGUGUCGUGAGAUGUUGGGUUAAGUCCCGCAACGAGCGCAACCCUUGUCGUUAAUUGCCAUCAUUUAGUUGGGCACUUUAGCGAGACUGCCGGUGACAAACCGGAGGAAGGUGGGGAUGACGUCAAGUCCUCAUGGCCCUUAUGGGUAGGGCUUCACACGUCAUACAAUGGUCGGUACAGAGGGUCGCCAAGCCGCGAGGUGGAGCCAAUCCCAGAAAGCCGAUCGUAGUCCGGAUUGCAGGCUGCAACUCGCCUGCAUGAAGUCGGAAUCGCUAGUAAUCGUGGAUCAGCAUGUCACGGUGAAUACGUUCCCGGGUCUUGUACACACCGCCCGUCACACCAUGGGAGCGGGUUCCGCCAGAAGUAGGUAGCCUAACCGCAAGGAGGGCGCUUACCACGGCGGGGUUCGUGACUGGGGUGAAGUCGUAACAAGGUAGCCGUAGGGGAACCUGCGGCUG
Molecule: ribosomal RNA, 1287 nt
Filed under: metagenome
Description: bacterial SSU rRNA
Rfam family: Bacterial small subunit ribosomal RNA
Source: RNAcentral